RNAcentral lists this ribosomal RNA (341 nucleotides) under uncultured Gammaproteobacteria bacterium. RNAcentral's name for it is "partial 16S ribosomal RNA". It matches the Rfam family "Bacterial small subunit ribosomal RNA", at positions 97 to 439 of the family's 1533-position model. Lineage: Bacteria; Pseudomonadati; Pseudomonadota; Gammaproteobacteria. The record is from RNAcentral.
GGCGGACGGGUGAGUAAUGCGUAGGAAUUUNCCUCNAAGUGAAGGGAUAGCCCGGAGAAAUCCGGAUUAAUACCGCAUGUGCACUACGGUGGAAAGCGGGCCUCUUCCUGAAAGCUCGCGCUUUGAGAUAAGCCUACGUCGGAUUAGCUUGUUGGUAGGGUAAAGGCCUACCAAGGCGACGAUCCGUAGCUGGUUUGAGAGGAUGAUCAGCCNCACUGGGACUGAGACACGGCCCANACUCCUAUGGGAGGCAGCANUGGGGAAUNUUGNACAAUGGGCGAANCCUGAUCCAGCAUUGCCGCGUGUGUGAAGAAUGCCUGCNGGUUGUAAAGCACUUUUAU